Molecule: ribosomal RNA, 518 nt
Filed under: Paenibacillus sp.
Lineage: Bacteria; Bacillati; Bacillota; Bacilli; Caryophanales; Paenibacillaceae
Description: bacterial SSU rRNA
Rfam family: Bacterial small subunit ribosomal RNA
Source: RNAcentral
UCGCCUGAAGGAAGCUGGAAAGACGGAGCAAUCUGUCACUUGAGGAUGGGCCUGCGGCGCAUUAGCUAGUUGGUGAGGUAACGGCUCACCAAGGCGACGAUGCGUAGCCGACCUGAGAGGGUGAUCGGCCACACUGGGACUGAGACACGGCCCAGACUCCUACGGGAGGCAGCAGUAGGGAAUCUUCCGCAAUGGGCGAAAGCCUGACGGAGCAAUGCCGCGUGAGUGAUGAAGGUUUUCGGAUCGUAAAGCUCUGUUGCCAGGGAAGAACGUCCUUGAGAGUAACUGCUCAAGGAGUGACGGUACCUGAGAAGAAAGCCCCGGCUAACUACGUGCCAGCAGCCGCGGUAAUACGUAGGGGGCAAGCGUUGUCCGGAAUUAUUGGGCGUAAAGCGCGCGCAAGCGGUCAUUUAAGUCUGGUGUUUAAUCCCGGGGCUCAACCCCGGAUCGCACUGGAAACUGGAUGACUUGAGUGCAGAAGAGGAGAGUGGAAUUCCACGUGUAGCGGUGAAAUGCGU